Pecten maximus is the source of this 1687-nucleotide long non-coding RNA. RefSeq lists it as uncharacterized. Lineage: Eukaryota; Metazoa; Mollusca; Bivalvia; Pectinida; Pectinidae. The record is from RefSeq and is a predicted model, not a curated record. The transcript has 2 exons.
UAUAUAUUUAUAUAAAGUUAAAAACCAAGAUAUUGAUGGUCUGUUUGUGAAUAUUUAUUUAUUUGAAGAUUAUGUUUAGCUGUGUUUUUACACUAUUGCCUGGAAUGGAGCUAAUUAUUAUAAGCCUAUUAGAACCUAUGGUAAUGGCUAACUCUAGGCCUUGAUGACUUUAGUUAUAUUGUUAAACGUGAUGAGUUUACUCCUGGCUUGGUAUAUUUCUGGGAUUUGUUUCUGUGCGAUAUCACCAAAGGCCAAAGCAAUCAAAUGGUACAGUUAAACAUCCCUUCCUCUGCUGUCUGUGGUUCUAUCCUCCACUACAAGGUGUUUUAGGCUGUAGAGGCGUGUUCUAUCCUUUAUUACAAGGUGUUUUAGGCUGUAGAGGCGUGUACUAUCCUCUAUUACAAGGUGUUUUAGGCUGUAGAGGUGUGUACCUAUCUGGUACAGAACCUGAAGAAGCCAAUUGUAAUCAAGGUUUAUGUGAUAUGACUACUUUACUUUCAGCACGUGUGAACCAGGCAUGGAGAACCCGAGUGGUUACGAGGUGACGCAAGUCUGCCCUGUAUACAAUAACAUACCUAGUUUAUACAUUAACGACUUGCUGUGACAGUCUUAGCACCAGACAAAAACAGCAUUAUAUGCUUAACUUUCACCUAUAAGCAAAUUAAUUCUAAAGUCUUGGACAUUUUUUAUGGUUUAUGUAACCAUGAAAGUGACCACGGAAUAAAAGAAGAAAAAGAAAUAUGAAACACAAAUUCCUUCUAAAAGAUAUCGGAGAAGUCCUGUUUAGUGUAUACAGUAGAUUGAAACAUUUCUUCAGAUGUAGGAGGAGGUCUGAUUUAAUGUUAAGACACUGCUUUAUAGAGCUUUGGUCAUAGACAUUAUAUAUUAUGUAAUCCCAACACAGGCCUAUUGUAUAACCUUGGGAGAAGGUAUCAACAGCCAUAUCUCUGUUCCUUGUUACUAAAUACAGACAAUUUCUUAAACAAAUAUACACUGUUCCUUUACAUUUGAACAAGUAUAUCACUUGCAUGUUUACAUGAGAUAUCUAAAUAUAUAUUAACCAAUUGAAAAAAGUAUAAAUUAAUGCCUAUCUGAUCCCAAUGUCACAUUGCAUUACCUGCUUACUUAACAAAAAUGUGAUUUCAAAUGAAGUUAAAAAAACUUCUUGAUAAGUGCAACAUUUAUUACAGAUGUUCUGAAAUGAUCACAAAGAAAUGUUAAAAUACAAAUGAAUGUUCUUUUCACAACAUAAAAAAUGUUCAGAAAGUAUAGUGAUUUAUUUAAAUGCCUCCAUAAUGAAUGCUUUAUUGAAAAUAUUGCAAAAUGAUGUCAAAAUAUGUUCUAAAGACUCCUAAAUGAAUGAUAUUUUAUAAUAUUCCAAAGUGAUUAAAAUUCUCCUAUACCAAUUAUGACAAAUGCUAGAAAGUAGAAAUAGAUAUAAAACUAAACACAUCUAGGCUUAAAUUUAGGAGUCCAUUUUUGUACCGGGAGUGUAAACAUUGAAUUUGAUAAUGAAAAUGUCUGAUGGUGCAUUUUGAUUUAAAAUUAUUAGUUUUGAUAGUUAGGAAUGUUUUAGUGUUUUAUGAACUAAUUUUUUAAGAAUUUAUUAUGAAUGUAUUUUUGUCAUUUUCACCUAUCUAACCUCUAAUUUCACAGUUAUCUCCCCUUUUCCCUAUCUCCUGCCCAG